GAUGAAGAACGCAGCGAAAUGCGAAAAGUAAUGUGAAUUGCAGAAUUCAGUGAAUCAUCGAAUCUUUGAACGCACAUUGCGCCCGCCAGUAUUCUGGCGGGCAUGCCUGUCUGAGCGUCAUUUCAACCCUCACGCCCCUAGGGCGUGGUGUUGGGGAUCGGCCAAGGCCCGCAAGGGACGGCCGGCCCCUAAAUCUAGUGGCGGACCCAUCGUGGCCUCCCCUGCGAAGUAGUAAUAUAUUCCGCAUCGGAUAGCGAUGAGCCCCUGCCGUUAAACCCCCAACUCUUUCAAGGUUAACCUCAGAUCAGGUAGGAAUACCCGCUGAACUUAAGCAUAUCAAUAAGCGGAGGA
This 351-nucleotide unclassified non-coding RNA is filed under the name soil metagenome. Its description in RNAcentral is "partial contains 5.8S ribosomal RNA, internal transcribed spacer 2, and large subunit ribosomal RNA". The stretch from base 1 to 120 matches the Rfam family "5.8S ribosomal RNA", at positions 35 to 154 of the family's 154-position model. The record is from RNAcentral.